AUUGAACGCUGGCGGCAUGCUUUACACAUGCCAGUCGAACGGCAGCGGGGUAGUGCUUGCACUACUGCCGGCGAGUGGCGCACGGGUGAGUAAUAUAUCGGAACGUACCGAGUAAUGGGGGAUAACCAAUCGAAAGAUUGGCUAAUACCGCAUACGUCCUGAGGGAGAAAGCGGGGGAUCGCAAGACCUCGCGUUAUUCGAGCGGCCGAUAACUGAUUAGCUAGUUGGUGGGGUAAAGGCCUACCAAGGCGACGAUCAGUAGCGGGUCUGAGAGGACGAUCCGCCACACUGGGACUGAGACACGGCCCAGACUCCUACGGGAGGCAGCAGUGGGGAAUUUUGGACAAUGGGGGCAACCCUGAUCCAGCCAUGCCGCGUGUAUGAAGAAGGCCUUCGGGUUGUAAAGUACUUUUGUUAGGGAAGAAAAGGGAAGUGCUAAUACCACUUUUUGCUGACGGUACCUAAAGAAUAAGCACCGGCUAACUACGUG
This 490-nucleotide ribosomal RNA is filed under the name uncultured bacterium. RNAcentral describes it as "partial 16S ribosomal RNA". It matches the Rfam family "Bacterial small subunit ribosomal RNA", at positions 30 to 507 of the family's 1533-position model. The record is from RNAcentral.